CUCGUCGGUGGCGACGGAGAUGAGGGAGUCGAGGUCCUCGUUGGGGAGCUGGUACUUGAGGGAGAAGGGGAGACCGCCGAGGAGGUCCCGGGAGAGCUUGGCGGUGAGGUCAGCGAGGGAGGAGUUGCGGUCGACGACGACCAUGCGGGUCUCGCCGCCGAGAUAACAUAGGGCCCUGUCGGUGGGGCGGGGGACGAUGCGGCCUCCGUAGCUGCACAUCAGCCGGAGGCGCGACGACACCGCCGCGGCGGCAGACGAAGAGAACGGUUCGUCCCAGGAGUCGCCGCCUCGAGAGCGAGGGGAGGAGUCGACGGAGGCCGCAUAGCCUGGGGCGACGCCUCCUUCGGAGAUGGCCGUCGCCGCCGGUUCCGUCAUCGCAGUGCGCGAGGUGAGGAAGGGAUCGCCCAGCCCGGAUCGAGUCACGG
This 425-nucleotide long non-coding RNA is filed under the name Musa acuminata (dwarf banana). Its description in RNAcentral is "long non-coding RNA (MACU_LNC001008)". Lineage: Eukaryota; Viridiplantae; Streptophyta; Magnoliopsida; Zingiberales; Musaceae. The record is from RNAcentral.